Pezoporus occidentalis (night parrot) is the source of this 980-nucleotide long non-coding RNA. RefSeq lists it as uncharacterized. The record is from RefSeq and is a predicted model, not a curated record. NCBI's taxonomy places the organism in Eukaryota, Metazoa, Chordata, Aves, Psittaciformes, Psittacidae. The transcript is spliced from 3 exons.
CCCAGUUCCCCCAGGCUAUGAAGGAGAGGGCAGCACAGAAACCGUUUCUGGCAUGCUUCAGGACCUCAGCCUUGGUCUUUCUCGGAGAGAUGCCGAGCAGGGAGCCUGGUCAGGUAGCAUUUGUGAGCCCUUCAGAAACCACCAGAUUGGCUGCUGGCUCAAGUAAGCAAGGACUAUAAAUCUCAUGUUAUGACUCUGGUUUCCAGUGCCAAGAACAAUCCUCAAGGUCCAGCAAUCAGUUAUAUCUGUGGAGAUAAGAAAAACUGACUGAAGAAAUUACUACUGGGAAGCUUCAGGAAGCUUCUCAAUUGCUAACUGCCAGAAUCUCGAGGCCUGGAUUUGGGUUAGGAUUCUGCCAGUUUGGUCCAUUUUUCUUAUGGCUUCCUCUAAGUGUUGUACUCUAUCUGCAGUUUCAUACUCUUCUUGUAGGCUACCUUAAAAUUGCAUUUGUGCUUAUUUAAGGUUUGACAUUUUCCCUAGUCUAUUUCUCAAACUCUUCCCUAUAUACACUGAUAUUUGAUAACAAACAUUGUGUACUGUUUUUAAUCAAGAGACGUUGAGAAAAGGUACUGGGAGUAAAAUGGGAGUCUUCAGGGUAAUUCAGCAGGGACAAGAAUGAUUUUUUUCUGAGAAAUAAAAUUGCUGCAAGAUUUGUCUUUGAUCUAGAAUAAACAUAUGCUAACUACCUGAAGGUAACUUAUCUUGCUGCUUCAGGAGAUAGAUCUAUUAGAUGGAGAUAAUGGCUUGAAAAAAAGUAUCUUUCUUUACAUUUUAGAUUUCUAUUGAAUGUAAUGUAUCUUAGGACAAGCAUUCUAAAAAAAAAAAAAAAAGAAAGAACAAAUGAAUAAAUCUGUCAGUACCAAGGAAAAGAACAGAAUUGAAACUGAAAACCCAGCUCCUCCUUACACAUCAUCACAGAGCAUUUGGAUAACUUGUUGGGUAGGAGGGGAGAGUCUUCUGCACAUGGGAGAAGGGCAAGC